UACGGAGGAUCCGAGCGUUAUCCGGAUUUAUUGGGUUUAAAGGGUGCGCAGGCGGGAGAUUAAGUCGGCGGUGAAAUUUUGCAGCUCAACUGUAAAAGUGCCUUCGAAACUGGUUUCCUUGAGUGUAGAUGAAGUAGGCGGAAUUUGUGGUGUAGCGGUGAAAUGCAUAGAUAUCACGAGGAACUCCGAUUGCGCAGGCAGCUUACUAAGCUACUACUGACGCUCAGGCACGAAGGCGUGGGGAUCAAACAGGAUUAGAUACCCGGGUA
This 269-nucleotide ribosomal RNA is filed under the name uncultured prokaryote. RNAcentral describes it as "partial 16S ribosomal RNA". It matches the Rfam family "Bacterial small subunit ribosomal RNA", at positions 524 to 792 of the family's 1533-position model. The record is from RNAcentral.